Long non-coding RNA from Cryptomeria japonica (Japanese cedar), 876 nucleotides. RefSeq lists it as uncharacterized. NCBI's taxonomy places the organism in Eukaryota, Viridiplantae, Streptophyta, Pinopsida, Cupressales, Cupressaceae. The record is from RefSeq and is a predicted model, not a curated record. The transcript has 3 exons.
UAAUUUUUAUUGUAAAUUAAAAGAAAACAUAAGAGGUGAUUCUCAUUGAUACUCAAAGAUUGAAGACAAAGAAAACAUAAGAGGUGAUUCUCAUGGAUACUCACAGAUUGCAGACAUCUCUAAUUUUUAUUUGAAGCAUUUUUUUGGAUGUGGAUUGUGUUAAAGAUUUCAAUCAGGUUCCAAUCACUCAGAUCAUUUACUGCUAGGUAUUAAAUCUCAAUUGCUACUGCUAUUGAUUGGACUGUACGCCUACUAUCAUUGUCGCCAUGUUACCUAUGCUGUUCAUAUUUUUUUUCGAGGGUCGUCAUACAAACUAAGGAGGGUAUCAAAUGCUGCUGAUUCAUUGCCGCCUCAAUUCCUAAGCUACCAUCUCAUUUCUAAUUGCCGAGUUUGUCAUAAAUUUGGGAAAGCCACAAUUGCAACAUUAUUAGGGUUGUCAUAACAAAUUGGGUGCCAUUCGUGGUUCUACAGCAGUCACGUGUUGUUUGGGAACUUGUCACAGCCUUUGUAAUCCUGAGCAUAAAUUAUACCUGCUAUACAAUUGGCUUCUCAACUCCCUUUGGUGAACCUCCCCCUCCUACAUAUGAAGAUAGGCAAAAACUACUUCAUAAAGAUUAUGAGGUUGUGGUGGAGCUCCAAGAAAUUUAGAGAGGAGGUCAAGACAGUGGAUUCAAAAGCAAUUGGAACAUCAUAUGCAUCUUUGUUCACUCAACAGUCAAAGGUGACUAAUGAUUGCUUUUUUUCUUACCUGGAGGGAAGUGAUUAUUUUAGGGUCUUUGUUGUAUUGCUAUAUGGCAGUUUUGUGCAUAUAUUUUUGUAUUGUAUAGAUUUAUGACAUCAUAAGCCUAUAUGGCUUUUUUGUACAUAUAUUAUACU